CCAGAUAUACCAGAGAGAAGCUGGACACAGCUACAGAAGAUCUAGGUCUAGUCCCAGUUUUGUGAAUCUGGGCAAAGCGUGUUAACUCUCUGACGUCCAUUCCCUCGCCUGCAAGAUGGGAUUCGUGUUUUGUGCUUUGAAUCUUUCAAAGGAUUUUGGUAUUGAUCCUAAGAGCACUCCCCAUUGAAGUUCCUGCAUGCAGAUGUCUAUUUCAGAGUCUACUUCUUGGGAAACUCAGUCUGUAACAGCUGCCUUCCUUUAAUUUUCUUGAACGUCUGACCUCAAGUAAUCCACCCUCCUCGGCCUCCCAAAGUACUGGGAUUACAGGCAUGAGCCACCGCACCUGGCCCUUGUAUUUUCUAAUAUGAAUUAUUGAGGUCUAUUCUGAGCUGCUAUAGUAUUUUGUUUGUAUGAGUAGACUAGGAUUCAUCCCAUUAA
This 438-nucleotide long non-coding RNA is filed under the name Homo sapiens (human). RNAcentral's name for it is "HSALNT0022487". Lineage: Eukaryota; Metazoa; Chordata; Mammalia; Primates; Hominidae. The record is from RNAcentral.